Molecule: ribosomal RNA, 434 nt
Filed under: uncultured bacterium
Lineage: Bacteria
Description: partial 16S ribosomal RNA
Rfam family: Bacterial small subunit ribosomal RNA
Source: RNAcentral
AGCGAACGCUGGCGGCAGGCUUAACACAUGCAAGUCGAGCGGGCAUCUUCGGAUGUCCGCGGCAGACGGGUGAGUAACACGUGGGAACGUACCCUUCGGUUCGGAACAACUCUGGGAAACUGGAGCUAAUACCGGAUACGCCCUUAUGGGGAAAGGUUUACUGCCGAAGGAUCGGCCCGCGUCUGAUUAGCUAGUUGGUGGGGUAACGGCCUACCAAGGCGACGAUCAGUAGCUGGUCUGAGAGGAUGAUCAGCCACACUGGGACUGAGACACGGCCCAGACUCCUACGGGAGGCAGCAGUGGGGAAUAUUGGACAAUGGGCGCAAGCCUGAUCCAGCCAGGCCGCGUGAGUGAUGAAGGCCUUAGGGUUGUAAAGCUCUUUUGUCCGGGACGAUAAGGACGGUACCGGAAGAAUAAGCCCCGGCUAACUUCGU